GUGUUCAUCCAAGCUUUUUAUAAUCUCUAUAAAUUUUUGCGUGUGUGCACAGGUAGUUCCAUCGCAGAUGUGGAUGCUAGCUUUAUCCAAGCUUAGAUAAGUGCUUAUUUUCUCAAUGCUUUGAUAUAUAUCUGUUGUUGCAUAAUUCAUAAUGAGUUGUGCCAUUGUGACUGAAACUUACUGCAGCUUUAAUCGCAAGGUUCUUUUAGUUUCUGGUAGUGAAACUUACUUCCGAUAACCAAGAAGACAAAUGGUAUAGAAGAUGAAGCAAAGUUCAGACGAUAUUUGACAAUCAGAAAGCGCUAAAAGUGUAGAAAGGGCCUUGAUCUGUCGACUUUUCCAACUAGCAAGCAUGCAAGAUGAAUAGGUUAUUGUGCGUUCAUUAUUUCAUUAUGUUGUGGUUUGUGUGUUCCAUGAGUUUGUCAAAACGACAGCAGUGUCGGUUACUGCUGUUCUUUCAGGCUAUCAGAAGAAAGUUGGCGACCGGCAAGGCGGUGCAGCCAUGGAUGAUCCAUUAUUAUCGUUCAUCAGAGUCCAGUAAGUGUGAAUUUUGGGGAUGCUCUAUUGUUUUC
This is a long non-coding RNA of Phragmites australis (common reed), 572 nucleotides long. RefSeq lists it as uncharacterized. The record is from RefSeq and is a predicted model, not a curated record. The transcript has 3 exons. NCBI's taxonomy places the organism in Eukaryota, Viridiplantae, Streptophyta, Magnoliopsida, Poales, Poaceae.